This 402-nucleotide ribosomal RNA is filed under the name uncultured prokaryote. RNAcentral's name for it is "bacterial SSU rRNA". It matches the Rfam family "Bacterial small subunit ribosomal RNA", at positions 355 to 774 of the family's 1533-position model. The record is from RNAcentral.
UAGGGAAUAUUAGAAAUGGACGAAAGUCUGAUCUAGCAACACCGCGUGUGCGAAGAAGGCCUUCGGGUUGUAAAGCACUUUUUGGAAGGAUUAGGAGGGAAUGUACUUCCAGAAUAAGUCUCGGCUAACUACGUGCCAGCAGCCGCGGUAACACGUAGGAGGCAAACGUUAUCCGGAUUUACUGGGCGUAAAGCGCGUGUAGGUGGUUCUGUAAGUAGGGCGUGAAAGCUCCUGGCUCAACUGGGAGAGGCCGUUCUAAACUGCAGAGCUAGAGGAUGGUAGAGGGAGGUGGAAGUCCGGGUGUAGCGGUGGAAUGCGCAGAUAUCCGGAGGAACACCAGUGGCGAAAGCGUCCUCCUGGACCAUUCCUGACACUCAGACGCGAAAGCUAGGGUAGCAAACG